RNAcentral lists this ribosomal RNA (253 nucleotides) under uncultured bacterium. RNAcentral's name for it is "partial 16S ribosomal RNA". It matches the Rfam family "Bacterial small subunit ribosomal RNA", at positions 524 to 776 of the family's 1533-position model. The record is from RNAcentral.
UACGGAGGAGGCAAGCGUUAUCCGGAAUUAUUGGGCGUAAAGCGUCCGCAGGUGGCGAUUCAAGUCUGCGGUUAAAGACUGGGGCUUAACCCUGGAAAGGCCGUGGAAACUGAAGAGCUAGAGUGCAGUAGGGGUAGAGGGAAUUCCCGGUGUAGCGGUGAAAUGCGUAGAGCUCGGGAAGAACAUCGGUGGCGAAAGCGCUCUGCUGGACUGCAACUGACACUCAGGGACGAAAGCUAGGGGAGCGAAUGGG